GUGCUCGCUUUGGCAGCACAGAAACUAAAAUUAGAAUGAUACAGAGAAGAUUGGCAUGGCCACUGCGCAAGGAUGACAUACAAAUUCAUGAAGCGUUCCCUAUUUUG
Stegostoma tigrinum is the source of this 107-nucleotide small nuclear RNA. The record is from RefSeq and is a predicted model, not a curated record. NCBI's taxonomy places the organism in Eukaryota, Metazoa, Chordata, Chondrichthyes, Orectolobiformes, Stegostomatidae.